AGAAUCCUUAGAGCCCACGUACCUCUUGUCCCCUCUGCCCCUUUCUGGAAGGGACUUCAAAUGUCUCUGGCCUAUUCUUGCAUUCUAGACGUAUUCCCCAAGGCUUCCCUCUCAGUCUGGCCUGGACCAGAGGUGGCCUCAGGAACCAACGUGACCCUCCUGUGUAAGGGGCCCUCUUGGAGUACUAAGUUUCUUCUGCACAAGGAGGGAGAUGAUGAAAUCCUGCACAGCACAGAUAUCAUUCAGGAUGGAGCCCUGUUCUUCUUCCCUCAUGUGACUACCAAGCACUCUGGCAAUUAUACAUGCAGCUACCAGCCCAGCACCAAUGGCAGUCUCUGGACACAGCACAGUGAUCCUGUGGAGCUAACUGUCAGAGGUGCCUCUGCUGCCCUUGUCUUCCCCAGACAGUCUCCCCAUCUCAGCCCUUUGAGGCCCCCAGAGAGGAAACCCCAUGUCACCAUGACUAAAGAUGCCCAAAGAGUGACGUAUACUCAGCUGAACAUAAAAACCCUAAAAAAGGAGCAAACAGAUUCCAAGAAGAAACCUAUAGAGUCCAUAGUCUAUGCCACUGUGCCAUUGGAGUGAGGAUUUCACUACCUUUCAUGAAGAAAUUCUCUCCUUUCUUCUUCUCCUCUCCCUCACUCCUAUUAACUUGCAUACCUUCCCAGGUUCCCAUCACUGAGAAGCCAUGAGGACUAUUAGGGAUAUUUACUGGGGUUGUGCAAUGUAAAGAUAAUUUUAGUAUUGUGACUUAAAAUCUAAAUUGAAUUGUUCACCAGGGAAAACCCCAAAUAAUAAAAUACCCAAGUCAGCUGGAAAUUUAUGGUGA
Molecule: long non-coding RNA, 829 nt
Filed under: Monodelphis domestica (gray short-tailed opossum)
Lineage: Eukaryota; Metazoa; Chordata; Mammalia; Didelphimorphia; Didelphidae
Description: lncRNA (ENSMODG00000045474.1)
Source: RNAcentral